This 1733-nucleotide long non-coding RNA is filed under the name Gossypium barbadense (sea-island cotton). Its description in RNAcentral is "long non-coding RNA (GBAR_LNC020447)". Lineage: Eukaryota; Viridiplantae; Streptophyta; Magnoliopsida; Malvales; Malvaceae. The record is from RNAcentral.
AGAAAUCAUCUUAUUACAUAAUAACUAGUAAGCUAUCAAAACUGUAAAUCAUAUAAGUUUUCAUGUUAAACGUCUUGUAAAUCACCCCCGACAUAUUCAUUUAACACAUUUGAUUGUCUAGUGUAUCGAUGGACCAUCAGGGUAUUAGCACCUCGUUUUGAAUAAUUCAAUUAAAUCUCAAUAUUCAUGUUUACUCAUUAACCAUUAACCAUUACAUUACACAUGCAUUUAAUUAUUGAUACGACUCCUAUUGACUCAAAUUUGAGGACGGAUACAUGGGUCAAUCCACCAACACACCCGCAUACGCACCAAAGUACUAGUCGAGCAUAAAUGCACUGAUCCCACCAACCACACCAGAAUACACUCGUGCCCCAGGGUAUUUGAGCUGGUGAUACAUUCUCAACUCCCAAGAUUUAGAGAACUAUCAUAAUAUAAUAUGUGCCCAGCACUAGAUCUCUCACCUAUCAAAACAAACCUUAUAGUAUGUCAGCUAUACCCGUAACUUUAUCCGAAACUGUUAAUAGGACAUUUUCCUUUAUCAUGUAUAAUAUAUCAAAUCAUGUUACAUAGGAAAAUAACAUCCCAAUAUCACUUUCAACCAUAUAACAUAGAUAACCUUUUGAUGUCAUCAUUACCAAAAGUACACAAUCGAAAAUAUACCAAACCAUUUUCACCAUAUACAUAGCAUCGCAAUGCAAUCUCUUAUUUACAUAUUUCAAGCAUAUCUUGAGCUUAUUGGUAAUUAAGUACAUACAUACCUCGAAUUGUGUCUGAUGAAAAUAUUAUUUGAUUAUGUUAACUACCUAUUAAAGCAUAAAUUGAGGUCAAGUUAUGAGUGCACAACUUUACCUUUCAAUUAACCAAUUUAAACAUAAAUCAGUCUUAGUAUUCAACGCAAAUCAACUUAAAUAAUAAAUCAUAUAACACCAUAUUUCAAUAAAAACUAAUAUAGUCUUUUAAACUCAACAUUGUUCAAUCUUUCAAAUAUGAUUUCAACCUAAUUAAUUCUAUGUCUUAAUUACUUAGUAAUUAAGUGAAAUCAAUUAUGCUAGCACAAAUCAAAAUUGUUGCCCGUCUUUUGAUUCACAUUUGUCCCUCAACGUUCCAUUCUUGUUAUUAGCUACGUUCGAUAAGUUUAAUUACGAAAAUCUAUUAGUCAAACAUUUCGAACAUAGGUUACAACAAUUUAAAUAUAAAUGCAUUUAUUUCAAUUUGAUCCCUCAAAUCACUAAUGUCCGUAAUACAUAUAUCUCAUAAUUUACCUGAUCAAAUUUAAAUCCGACUUUAUAAAUAUAGUACAAUGACCUCAUAAUACUAUUACUCACUAUCAAACCUCAAAGUUUUAUCCCUUACAAUUAGUUCUUUACUAACACAUAAUUAAUUCUAUAAUCUAAACUUGAUUCAAGCUUAUACCAACAAUUUCCACUAUCUUUCAAGCAUGAUUUUAGCACAACCAAGCUUAGUUAUAUUCAAUUUCAUGUUUUCAAUCUUCAAUACUUUAUAAAUUCAAUAAUGGCAAUUUGAGAAAAACUUCAUAAUAGCACAAACUAAAAAUUGGGUUAAGCAUAUCAUGUUUUCUUAACCAAAAUUCCAUGAACAAUUUGUAAAAUGUGUUCACUUACCUCAGGUUAAUUUGGCCGAAUAUGGAAGAAGCUCAACCCAUAUUUUUCUUUCUUCCAUAGCCGAUUGUAGAUGAACAAGAAAAAGAGAAAUGUGUUUUCUCUUUCCUUCCA